GUUUCAAGUGGACAGAAGAAAACCCCUCUUGGCUUUGAACAUGAACAUCUUAAAGAGUCCAGUUCAGCUACGCUUGGUAUGUCGGCUGAUGACUACCACACCAUGACACCAUCUGGUAGAAGGACAUCAUGCCAUCCUUCAGGGAGAAGAGGCCAUCUUGCAAAUGGAUCUGCUAGAUUUCAUACUAUGCCAGAAGAAAGGGAAUAAUAAAUGGAUGACUGAGAAAGAAUCAGAGCAAGGCUUGGAAGGAUAAGAAUGAACACUUAUAUCUCAUAAUCUCACUCAUGUCACAUUGUCAUGCUUUAUAGAGGAGUGCUGUCAUCUUUGACUAAAAUGAAUAUUGACUUCUGUUUGGAGCUGAGAGCUUUUUUGAGGGGGUGUAUGAGAAAGUCAGAUGCAAAUUGAUUAAAUUAAAAUUAUAAAGCGAAAAAAGCAA
Molecule: non-coding RNA, 436 nt
Organism: Anolis sagrei ordinatus
Lineage: Eukaryota; Metazoa; Chordata; Lepidosauria; Squamata; Anolidae
Source: RefSeq, a predicted model, not a curated record